CGGAAAGGCCUUUGGGGUACUCGAGCGGUGAACGGGUGAGUAACACGUGAGUAACCUGCCCUAGGCUCUGGGAUAACUGUCGGAAACGAUGGCUGAUACCGGAUAUUCAGUUCCUGCCGCAUGGGGGGGGUUGGAAAGUUUUUCGGCUUGGGAUGGGCUCGCGGCCUAUCAGCUUGUUGGUGGGGUGAUGGCCUACCAAGGCUUCGACGGGUAGCCGGCCUGAGAGGGCGACCGGCCACACUGGGACUGAGACACGGCCCAGACUCCUACGGGAGGCAGCAGUGGGGAAUAUUGCACAAUGGGCGAAAGCCUGAUGCAGCGACGCCGCGUGAGGGAAGACGGCCUUCGGGUUGUAAACCUCUUUCAGCAGGGACGAAGCGAUAGUGACGGUACCUGCAGAAGAAGCGCCGGCCAACUACGUGCCAGCAGCCGCGGUAAGACGUAGGGCGCGAGCGUUGUCCGGAUUUAUUGGGCGUAAAGAGCUCGUAGGCGGCUCGUUGCGUCAACCGUGAAAACCCGGGGCUUAACUUCGGGCUUGCGGUUGAUACGGGCGGGCUGGAGUUCGGUAGGGGAGACUGGAAUUCCUGGUGUAGCGGUGAAAUGCG
Molecule: ribosomal RNA, 605 nt
Filed under: uncultured Catellatospora sp.
Lineage: Bacteria; Bacillati; Actinomycetota; Actinomycetes; Micromonosporales; Micromonosporaceae
Description: bacterial SSU rRNA
Rfam family: Bacterial small subunit ribosomal RNA
Source: RNAcentral